GAUGAACGCUGGCGGCGUGCCUAAUACAUGCAAGUCGAGCGAACAGACGAGGAGCUUGCUCCUCUGACGUUAGCGGCGGACGGGUGAGUAACACGUGGAUAACCUACCUAUAAGACUGGGAUAACUUCGGGAAACCGGAGCUAAUACCGGAUAAUAUAUUGAACCGCAUGGUUCAAUAGUGAAAGACGGUUUUGCUGUCACUUAUAGAUGGAUCCGCGCCGCAUUAGCUAGUUGGUAAGGUAACGGCUUACCAAGGCGACGAUGCGUAGCCGACCUGAGAGGGUGAUCGGCCACACUGGAACUGAGGCACGGUCCAGACUCCUACGGGAGGCAGCAGUAGGGAAUCUUCCGCAAUGGGCGAAAGCCUGACGGAGCAACGCCGCGUGAGUGAUGAAGGUCUUCGGAUCGUAAAACUCUGUUAUUGGGGAAGAACAAAUGUGUAAGUAACUAUGCACGUCUUGACGGUACCUAAUCAGAAAGCCACGGCUAACUACGUG
Molecule: ribosomal RNA, 497 nt
Filed under: uncultured bacterium
Lineage: Bacteria
Description: partial 16S ribosomal RNA
Rfam family: Bacterial small subunit ribosomal RNA
Source: RNAcentral